This 28-nucleotide non-coding RNA is filed under the name Mus musculus (house mouse). Lineage: Eukaryota; Metazoa; Chordata; Mammalia; Rodentia; Muridae. The record is from RNAcentral.
UCAUACUGGUGAAAUGCCCUUUGAGUGU